GCCCUGUACAAAGCCUGGCCAGAGCCCCAUGCGACCUCUAGAAUGCAGACACUGUCAUCUGAACAUUUACACCUACCCGAAACUGGAAGACCACUCUAUACAAUCCCUUGGAUAAGAUAUAUGUGCAUCAAUCGCAUUCACCUUCUCCGCCUUUUGGAUUCGAGCCUUUUGGAUUCAACCUGCAAAUGAUAACAGGUUCACUUUUCUCAGCCUGAAUAAGAAACAGUAAUUGAUCAGGGAAAUAACAACUGAUUAUACAUAAAAAUACAAGUGAAGAAAUCUCCUCGCUGCAGUAAAUCUACAAAACAUGAAGACGCACAGUGCUUGCCAGCUAGUAGUAGUAUCAUUAACAAAGCUAUGCAAUCAACCAAUGCUGCCAGCUCACUAUAGAACCUUUUUUUUUACUUUUGAAAGUGUCAGUAUUUUGUUUUUUGAUUUUGUUGGCCGCAUUCACACUCGUCGAGUGUAAGCCGCCGUUGUCCCCAAAAAAAAAAGUGUCAAAAUAACAUGCUGCCUCAAAAAUUUCCAUAUAAUAUUGCAUGGAGCCUUCUGGAACUUCCUAAAUUAUUCAAGCAACUUGAGUGAUACAGCACCCACGAAAAAAGGGAGAGAGACAGCAUUGCUUAAAGUGAGAAAAUCAGAUUAGUUGACAAGAGUGAAAAAAAUGACAUAAUGAAUUUCAUGAUUCUUGAGUAAUCAACAAAGGCAAAGCAAAGCUGCUCUUGCUCUAAGAGGGGGCAAAAAAUGAACAAUGAGAAUUUCCUCCAUGAAAGGUGUAC
This 779-nucleotide long non-coding RNA is filed under the name Phoenix dactylifera (date palm). RNAcentral describes it as "long non-coding RNA (PDAC_LNC018334)". Lineage: Eukaryota; Viridiplantae; Streptophyta; Magnoliopsida; Arecales; Arecaceae. The record is from RNAcentral.